ACUGGAAUGAACGGCUAAAUGAGGACAAAGCUGUCUCUUACGGCCUAGCCAAUGAAAUUGAUCCUCCAGUACAAAAGCUGGAAUAAACUCAUAAGACGAGAAGACCCUGUGGAGCUUUAAAACCAAGAUCAUUAAACUAUGCUCCUUGGAUUUUUAGUUGGGGCGACUUUGGAGCAAAAAAAACCCUCCAAAACAUAAAUUUAAUUAUUUAGACCAACACACCAAGAAAAUUAUAUUAGACCAGCAGUAUUUUUUACUGUCUGACCAAUGAACCAAGUUACCCCAGGGAUAACAGCGCUAUCCUCUUCUAGAGUCCCUAUCGACAAGAGGGUUUACGACCUCGAUGUUGGAUCAGGACACCCCUAUAGUGCAGCCGCUAUAAAAG
This 385-nucleotide ribosomal RNA is filed under the name Podarcis tauricus (Crimean wall lizard). Its description in RNAcentral is "partial 16S ribosomal RNA". It matches the Rfam family "Archaeal large subunit ribosomal RNA", at positions 2063 to 2639 of the family's 2987-position model. The record is from RNAcentral. Lineage: Eukaryota; Metazoa; Chordata; Lepidosauria; Squamata; Lacertidae.